RNAcentral lists this ribosomal RNA (2911 nucleotides) under Serratia sp. JKS000199. Its description in RNAcentral is "bacterial LSU rRNA". It matches the Rfam family "Bacterial large subunit ribosomal RNA". Lineage: Bacteria; Pseudomonadati; Pseudomonadota; Gammaproteobacteria; Enterobacterales; Yersiniaceae. The record is from RNAcentral.
GAGGUUAAGUGACUAAGCGUACACGGUGGAUGCCUAGGCAGUCAGAGGCGAUGAAGGGCGUGCUAAUCUGCGAAAAGCGUCGGUAAGGUGAUAUGAACCGUUAUAACCGGCGAUACCCGAAUGGGGAAACCCAGUGUGUUUCGACACACUAUCAUGUCAUGAAUACAUAGUGGCAUGAGGCGAACCGGGGGAACUGAAACAUCUAAGUACCCCGAGGAAAAGAAAUCAACCGAGAUUCCCCCAGUAGCGGCGAGCGAACGGGGAGGAGCCCAGAACCUGAAUCGGCUUGUGUGUUAGUGGAAGCGUCUGGAAAGUCGCGCAGUAAAGGGUGAUAGCCCCGUACACUAAAAUGCACAGGUCGUGAGUUCGAUGAGUAGGGCGGGACACGUGACAUCCUGUCUGAAUAUGGGGGGACCAUCCUCCAAGGCUAAAUACUCCUGACUGACCGAUAGUGAACCAGUACCGUGAGGGAAAGGCGAAAAGAACCCCGGCGAGGGGAGUGAAAUAGAACCUGAAACCGUGUACGUACAAGCAGUGGGAGCACCUUCGUGGUGUGACUGCGUACCUUUUGUAUAAUGGGUCAGCGACUUAUAUUUUGUAGCAAGGUUAACCGUAUAGGGGAGCCGUAGGGAAACCGAGUCUUAACUGGGCGACUAGUUGCAAGGUAUAGACCCGAAACCCGGUGAUCUAGCCAUGGGCAGGUUGAAGGUUGGGUAACACUAACUGGAGGACCGAACCGACUAAUGUUGAAAAAUUAGCGGAUGACUUGUGGCUGGGGGUGAAAGGCCAAUCAAACCGGGAGAUAGCUGGUUCUCCCCGAAAGCUAUUUAGGUAGCGCCUCGUGAACUCAUCUUCGGGGGUAGAGCACUGUUUCGGCUAGGGGGCCAUCCCGGCUUACCAAACCGAUGCAAACUCCGAAUACCGAAGAAUGUUAUCACGGGAGACACACGGCGGGUGCUAACGUCCGUCGUGAAGAGGGAAACAACCCAGACCGCCAGCUAAGGUCCCAAAGUCAUGGUUAAGUGGGAAACGAUGUGGGAAGGCAUAGACAGCCAGGAUGUUGGCUUAGAAGCAGCCAUCAUUUAAAGAAAGCGUAAUAGCUCACUGGUCGAGUCGGCCUGCGCGGAAGAUGUAACGGGGCUAAACCAUGCACCGAAGCUGCGGCAGCGACGCUUAGGCGUUGUUGGGUAGGGGAGCGUUCUGUAAGCCGUUGAAGGUGGCCUGUGAGGGUUGCUGGAGGUAUCAGAAGUGCGAAUGCUGACAUAAGUAACGAUAAAGCGGGUGAAAAGCCCGCUCGCCGGAAGACCAAGGGUUCCUGUCCAACGUUAAUCGGGGCAGGGUGAGUCGACCCCUAAGGCGAGGCUGAAAAGCGUAGUCGAUGGGAAACAGGUUAAUAUUCCUGUACUUGGUGUUACUGCGAAGGGGGGACGGAGAAGGCUAGGCUAGCCGGGCGACGGUUGUCCCGGUUUAAGCGUGUAGGGGGUGUGACCUGGUAAAUCCGGUUGCAUGCUAACCCUGAGGCGUGAUGACGAUGCACUACGGUGCAGAAGUAGUUGAUGCCCUGCUUCCAGGAAAAUCCUCUAAGCUCCAGGUAACAUUAAAUCGUACCCCAAACCGACACAGGUGGUCAGGUAGAGAAUACCAAGGCGCUUGAGAGAACUCGGGUGAAGGAACUAGGCAAAAUGGUGCCGUAACUUCGGGAGAAGGCACGCUGGCAUGUAGGUGAAGUCCCUUGCGGAUGGAGCUGAAGCCAGUCGAAGAUACCAGCUGGCUGCAACUGUUUAAUAAAAACACAGCACUGUGCAAACACGAAAGUGGACGUAUACGGUGUGACGCCUGCCCGGUGCUGGAAGGUUAAUUGAUGGGGUCAGCCGCAAGGCGAAGCUCUUGAUCGAAGCCCCAGUAAACGGCGGCCGUAACUAUAACGGUCCUAAGGUAGCGAAAUUCCUUGUCGGGUAAGUUCCGACCUGCACGAAUGGCGUAAUGAUGGCCAGGCUGUCUCCACCCGAGACUCAGUGAAAUUGAACUCGCUGUGAAGAUGCAGUGUACCCGCGGCAAGACGGAAAGACCCCGUGAACCUUUACUAUAGCUUGACACUGAACAUUGAGCCUUGAUGUGUAGGAUAGGUGGGAGGCUUUGAAGCGUGGACGCCAGUCUGCGUGGAGCCAUCCUUGAAAUACCACCCUUUAAUGUUUGAUGUUCUAACUCGGCCCCAUAAUCUGGGGUGAGGACAGUGUCUGGUGGGUAGUUUGACUGGGGCGGUCUCCUCCCAAAGAGUAACGGAGGAGCACGAAGGUUAGCUAAUCACGGUCGGACAUCGUGAGGUUAGUGCAAAGGCAUAAGCUAGCUUGACUGCGAGAGUGACGGCUCGAGCAGGUACGAAAGUAGGUCUUAGUGAUCCGGUGGUUCUGAAUGGAAGGGCCAUCGCUCAACGGAUAAAAGGUACUCCGGGGAUAACAGGCUGAUACCGCCCAAGAGUUCAUAUCGACGGCGGUGUUUGGCACCUCGAUGUCGGCUCAUCACAUCCUGGGGCUGAAGUAGGUCCCAAGGGUAUGGCUGUUCGCCAUUUAAAGUGGUACGCGAGCUGGGUUUAGAACGUCGUGAGACAGUUCGGUCCCUAUCUGCCGUGGGCGUUGGAAGAUUGAGAGGGGUUGCUCCUAGUACGAGAGGACCGGAGUGAACGCACCACUGGUGUUCGGGUUGUCAUGCCAAUGGCAUUGCCCGGUAGCUAAGUGCGGAAAAGAUAAGCGCUGAAAGCAUCUAAGCGCGAAACUUGCCUCAAGAUGAGUCUUCCCUGGGCCUUCAAGGCCCCUGAAGGAACGUUUAAGACUAAGACGUUGAUAGGCUGGGUGUGUAAGUGCAGCGAUGCAUUGAGCUAACCAGUACUAAUGAUCCGUGAGGCUUAACCUUA